Molecule: ribosomal RNA, 427 nt
Filed under: uncultured bacterium
Lineage: Bacteria
Description: partial 16S ribosomal RNA
Rfam family: Bacterial small subunit ribosomal RNA
Source: RNAcentral
UGGGGAAUAUUGCACAAUGGGCGCAAGCCUGAUGCAGCCAUGCCGCGUGUAUGAAGAAGGCCUUCGGGUUGUAAAGUACUUUCAGCGGGGAGGAAGGUGUUGAGGUUAAUAACCUCAGCAAUUGACGUUACCCGCAGAAGAAGCACCGGCUAACUCCGUGCCAGCAGCCGCGGUAAUACGGAGGGUGCAAGCGUUAAUCGGAAUUACUGGGCGUAAAGCGCACGCAGGCGGUCUGUCAAGUCGGAUGUGAAAUCCCCGGGCUCAACCUGGGAACUGCACUCGAAACUGGCAGGCUAGAGUCUUGUAGAGGGGGGUAGAAUUCCAGGUGUAGCGGUGAAAUGCGUAGAGAUCUGGAGGAAUACCGGUGGCGAAGGCGGCCCCCUGGACAAAGACUGACGCUCAGGUGCGAAAGCGUGGGGAGCAAACA